AUUAUUUAGAGAAUGAAUUUUUCUUUUCUAUUUAGUUAGUGUGGCAGAGUUCAUGUAUUGCCACACAGCACAGAAAAACUGUUACUGUAUUUUAUGCUUCAGAACAGAAGUAUGUUACUGAAUUAAUAUAAGGCAAAUUUCUUUUGUAAUACAGCUUGUGUUGUCUGGUAAUCAUGGUUUACAAAAAGUUUCAAAUUUUUUUUUUCUUCUUGUUUCUUUGGAUUGUUUUAGUGAUAUUUUUUUCUUUUUUUUAUUAGCAAUGCUGUACCAUAUUAAGUCACUUCUUCGUGCAUGAAAGAAAUGGUGUAAACUUGAAUACAAAUCCAAAAUUAAGAUCCUUAUCAGAGCAAAAUUAGAGCAACAAAAUAAAACCACACUACUAAAGCAGAGCUUCCCAAACUUACUCUGCUGAAGUUCAGGCCCUGGCAUUGAUGAUUAAAAGGCCAUUGUUCAAUUUCUUCAGAUUAUCUGUAAAUUUUCAAUAAUGGCAAUACAUUCAUUCUGCCAUUUGGAGGAGCCUGUGCCACAGAAUAAUGAUGUGAAGAAAGCUCACUUAUUUGCAAGGAAGAGUCCUCAUUUGGGAACAGUACAGCUGCAACUAAGAGGUGCUUUGUCAAGUUCAGGUCUUUGACAUUCAGUGGGAUGAGAAUCUCAGAACAGACUGACUACUGGGGACUCCCAAGCUACAGUUCAGGUAAAUAACUUAUUUGGAGGAGGAACUUAAAGGUUUCUUCUGAUUUAAAUUAUGAUAAUUAAGUAGCAAAGAGUGCAACAAACUAUAAAUAUUUUCCACUUAACAUUUAAAAUAGAUAUGCCUAUAUUUGUGAGAGGAUUUGUUAGUUACAGUUUGAGCACUAUAUAGUUAUUUAACAUUUCAGCAGUACUGUUUCUAAAGAGGACUUCUUUACUGGUACAGAACAUGAAUGUCUAGUUCUAUUCCCAGCCACAUUUUUAUCUUGUUUUCCAACAUGCAGCCAUGAGUACGUGGCUAGUUCAGCUACUGCAAUUUCCAUUUUGCAAAGACAGAGAUGUCUUUUGGUAAUGCAUGCAUAAUUUAGAAGUAACAGCUUCUAUACUGGAGUAAGUGUUAGGGGCUCUGUUCAGAUCAUGGGAUUAACUUGGUUUGUUUCCUGCUCCAGCUGGUCCCCGAUUUCUCCAGGGAGAGGGUAGCUCCAUUGUGUGUGUUGCAACAGUCCAGUGCAGUUUGUAACCUACAGCCUUAAAGUCACUCAGAACUGGUACGGCUUUACGUUUAUUUAUGCUUUUGGAAAGUACAGUGGUGCAGCAGGUACUGCUACCUCAUUAGUGGAGGCAGGAAACUCGAAGAGGAACAGGGUGGGCAAUGGGAACAGGAACUGUUAUGGCCAUCUCCAGUAAUCUUUCCUAAUUUAUCAUCCAGGGUCCUCUUUCACUCUCUGUUUUUGGAGGGGGCAGGGGUGCAGGUGGAAAACAGUUCUGUAAUUGGUACAAAAAGAGAAAAAAAGUUUCCUAUUUGAAAAGCAAAAAGUUUUCCUUCUGUGUGGUAAUGUUUCAAAGAGGAAAACAUUAAAGCUUUCAGGAUUUUUUUCAAAAAAUUUCAAUUAUAGACUAAAUUUCAAUUAUAGACUUACAUCCUUGCCUUCUUCAAAAACAGAAAGAUGUUGUAAAAGAUAAUUACUUUGAGAUAAAGAUCAAGAAUAAAAAUGCAGAGAAAGAAAAAAGAUUCUUUUCU
This is a long non-coding RNA of Calidris pygmaea (Spoon-billed sandpiper), 1711 nucleotides long. The record is from Ensembl. Lineage: Eukaryota; Metazoa; Chordata; Aves; Charadriiformes; Scolopacidae.